RNAcentral lists this ribosomal RNA (253 nucleotides) under uncultured bacterium. RNAcentral's name for it is "partial 16S ribosomal RNA". It matches the Rfam family "Bacterial small subunit ribosomal RNA", at positions 524 to 776 of the family's 1533-position model. The record is from RNAcentral.
AACGUAGGACACAAGCGUUAUCCGGAGUUACUGGGCGUAAAGGGCGUUUAGGCGGGUGAUUACGUUCGCUAUGAAAGCGCCGGGCUAAACUCGGCGAGGCUGGCGGAUACUGGUCAUCUGGAGUGAGUCAGAGGAAGGUAGAAUUCCGCGUGUAGUGGUGAAAUGCGUAGAGAUGCGGAGGAGUACCAGUGGCGAAGGCGGCCUUCUGGGACUCAACUGACGCUGAAGCGCGAAAGCAUGGGGAGCGAACGGG